This 367-nucleotide ribosomal RNA is filed under the name uncultured bacterium. Its description in RNAcentral is "bacterial SSU rRNA". It matches the Rfam family "Bacterial small subunit ribosomal RNA", at positions 1 to 330 of the family's 1533-position model. The record is from RNAcentral.
GAUCAGCUCGUACUCCGAAUGCAUCUAGAUUAGAGUUUGAUCCUGGCUCAGGACGAACGCUGGCGGCGUGCCUAAUACAUGCAAGUCGAGCGAACAGAGAAGGAGCUUGCUCCUUCGACGUUAGCGGCGGACGGGUGAGUAACACGUGGGCAACCUACCUUAUAGUUUGGGAUAACUCCGGGAAACCGGGGCUAAUACCGAAUAAUCUAUUUUACUUCAUUGGUGAAAUACUGAAAGACGGUUUCGGCUGUCGCUAUAAGAUGGGCCCGCGGCGCAUUAGCUAGUUGGUGAGGUAACGGCUCACCAAAGGCGACGAUGCGUAGCCGACCUGAGAGGGUGAUCGGCCACACUGGGACUGAGACACGGC